GCCUCUCCUAAGACUCAACCCAGCCUAACGGUAAGCAUGGAGGCAGAGCUAUUUGGGAGAGAGGAUGCCCCCUGGGUUUCAGGCCAUACAAGAAUUUCAUAUUUCUUAGCAAGGAUUUCGUAACACCCCAGCCUGCACUGGCAACUGCCACUGAAAAAACAUCUACCCAAAAAAAUAUUUGGAUAAGCAUCCAAACCUUUGGACGUGUGUCAAGACCAAGCCACUGAACCUGGACGUUCACCCACUCACUCUUAAGAGGUCAGCUUGACAUUUUGGGUCCUUCUCAGACUGCAGCUGCCAACAGUAGUUAGUACCUUUGGUCCCAGACUGGCAAAAUAGUAGUGCUUAUAAUUCACUGGCAUACUUGUAUUUAUUUAACCUGUUUGGAUGUCAAGAGACCUUCUUGGGAAGGGUCAGGCUUGGUUUUGAAAUUUCAGAAAGUGUUUAGUGGGUAUCCUUUCCUUGGACAACAUAGGAUGAAGCUAUGAUAUAUCUUGCUGGAAUUUUUAGUUGUUACUAUAACAUUGAGCAUUGAUUAAAU
RNAcentral lists this long non-coding RNA (541 nucleotides) under Phascolarctos cinereus (koala). RNAcentral's name for it is "lncRNA (ENSPCIG00000032394.1)". The record is from RNAcentral. Lineage: Eukaryota; Metazoa; Chordata; Mammalia; Diprotodontia; Phascolarctidae.